RNAcentral lists this ribosomal RNA (531 nucleotides) under Marinobacter sp. B9-2. RNAcentral describes it as "bacterial LSU rRNA". It matches the Rfam family "Bacterial large subunit ribosomal RNA", at positions 1950 to 2480 of the family's 2925-position model. The record is from RNAcentral. Lineage: Bacteria; Pseudomonadati; Pseudomonadota; Gammaproteobacteria; Pseudomonadales; Marinobacteraceae.
CCUAAGGUAGCGAAAUUCCUUGUCGGGUAAGUUCCGACCUGCACGAAUGGCGUAACGAUGGGGGCGCUGUCUCUACCCGAGACUCAGUGAAAUUGAAAUCGCCGUGAAGAUGCGGUGUAUCCGCGGCUAGACGGAAAGACCCCGUGAACCUUUACUAUAGCUUCACAGUGAACUUUGAGCAUGUUUGUGUAGGAUAGCUGGGAGGCUUUGAAGUGGGAACGCCAGUUCUCAUGGAGCCAACCUUGAAAUACCAGCCUGACAUGUUUGAGGUUCUAACUUGGACCCCUUAUCGGGGUUGAGGACACUGUGUGGUGGGUAGUUUGACUGGGGCGGUCUCCUCCCAAAGCGUAACGGAGGAGCACAAAGGUGGGCUAAGCAUGGUCGGACAUCAUGCGGUUAGUGUAAUGGCACAAGCCCGCUUAACUGCGAGACAGACACGUCGAGCAGGUACGAAAGUAGGUCAUAGUGAUCCGGUGGUUCUGUAUGGAAGGGCCAUCGCUCAACGGAUAAAAGGUACUCCGGGGAUAACAG